GGCUAGAUAAUAUGCUUAAAGCAGAGUAUCAAGGUUGAUAAACAUCAGGAAGCUGAAGACCGACACUGGCAGCAGAUUUCUUCAGUGUUCUCCUCAUUUCUUCUGCUCGAUCCACGGCUAUAUUGUAAGAAAACAAUAAUUCCUUAUGAUGAUGAAUACUGUUGAGCAGGAAAGUGUAGUCACGAGCAAGCUUCAAUUUAUGUUCAACGCCAUCUUGAUCGACAAGCUUAGAAUUCUGUCGGAACUCAUCAGUCACGAAAUCCUUGAAAUGUUGUUUGCUUCCAUUUUUACCUAUAUGUUUCUCGACGGCUCUGAGAAGGUGAUGAUAUGCCAUUCUACCUUGCAUUGUACUGGACUAUUAUAUUCUGAACAGGCGAUGAC
RNAcentral lists this unclassified non-coding RNA (381 nucleotides) under Hevea brasiliensis (rubber tree). Lineage: Eukaryota; Viridiplantae; Streptophyta; Magnoliopsida; Malpighiales; Euphorbiaceae. The record is from RNAcentral.